Molecule: ribosomal RNA, 621 nt
Filed under: uncultured bacterium
Lineage: Bacteria
Description: bacterial SSU rRNA
Rfam family: Bacterial small subunit ribosomal RNA (bases 1-520)
Source: RNAcentral
CCUACGGGAGGCAGCAGUGGGGAAUCUUGCGCAAUGGGCGAAAGCCUGACACAGCCAUGCCGCGUGAAUGAUGAAGGUCUUAGGAUUGUAAAAUUCUUUCACCGGGGACGAUAAUGACGGUACCCGGAGAAGAAGCCCCGGCUAACUUCGUGCCAGCAGCCGCGGUAAUACGAAGGGGGCUAGCGUUGCUCGGAAUUACUGGGCGUAAAGGGAGCGUAGGCGGAUAGUUUAGUCAGAGGUGAAAGCCCAGGGCUCAACCUUGGAAUUGCCUUUGAUACUGGCUAUCUUGAGUAUGGGAGAGGUAUGCGGAACUCCGAGUGUAGAGGUGAAAUUCGUAGAUAUUCGGAAGAACACCAGUGGCGAAGGCGGCAUACUGGCCCAUUACUGACGCUGAGGCUCGAAAGCGUGGGGAGCAAACAGGAUUAGAUACCCUGGUAGUCCACGCUGUAAACGAUGAGUGCUAGUUGUCGGCAUGCAUGCAUGUCGGUGACGCAGCUACGACAUUAAGACGACGUCCGCCGUCGGGGAGGUACGGUCGGCGAAGUAAGUUAAAACGUUAACGAAAGGUAAAGUUAGUUACGGACGUUGAGACGNGCCGACGGACGACGACGAGGGAGGAGG